AAGACAGUCUCUUCAAUAAAUGGUGCUGGGAAAACUAUAUGUAGAAGAAUGAAACUCGACCAUUCUCUUACACCAACACAAAGAUAAUCUCAAAAAAUUAUUUUGGUAUAUUUUCCUGCUUGUUCUUCUGGAGAAAUGUUCAAAUCAGUGUUUCAGAUUUUAUAAAAUAAACUGUGGAGACUUUAAUUGUUAUCAUAUGAGCAAAGAAUUUUGUUACUUUAAGAUUAUUUGGCUUUCCAUCCAUAAGAUUUAAUUUCCCAUUAUUCACAGUAUUAUUUUUUUCCUCUCAAAAUUAUUUCUUAUUUAGAGCUAAAUUAUUAUCUAAGCACUUAAUGGUAUUUUUAAUCACAAGAAUACAUAGAUUUUACUGCAUUAUGAAGUAAUUCAUCACCUAAGAAUCAGGAUACAAAUAAUUUUAUUGAAUUUAUCAUUUCCAACACAUCAGCUUUUGCUCUAAGUGCAAAAUUUAAGAUAAAUAGUUCAAGUAUUAUGAUAAUUUUCUCUGUCACUUGAAAAACAACAUCCAAAUUAGUAAAAUCAAUGACAGUUUCUUCAGAGUCAAAAUGUUUCAGAAAGGCAGGGCUCCCAGAUGAGCCUAUCUGGAAGGAGAGAGUCCCUUGGCACAUGGAUACCAUGAAUGUAAACUAAAUUUGGAUUAGUCUACUAUGGCUACGUUUCUAAAAAACUAUCACACGAAGUGUGAUUUUUUAUGCCACUAAACUUCCUUUUCUCCUUUUUCUCUCCUUUCUUAUUGUCUGGGGUUCCUAUGGGCUGACUUUGGCAAAGAGUAAGUCAAGACUGGGGUGUAAACUGGAAAAAUUAUCCCAGAGAAUGUCCUCUGAGAAGUCAUCCCAAUGAUGGCUUUGUUUGCCUCCUUUCUCCCAGAGAUAGAGCACUGCCCCCAGGUACUAAUGGGAACCUGGGGUUUGAAGACCUCCCUGGAUCUACAGCAUCUCUCUGAAAGCUUUUACAGAAUAUACUAUGGAGACCUCAAUUAUUGUCUUAUGUGUAAUUUUGGAGUAAGGAGAUGGCAGAGAAUUUGGAAGACAAGCAUUCCCAAGACUAAGACUUUCCAUGUUAUUUCCAAAACAAGCUAUCACAACUGUUAUACCUCCAAACACAUAAGUUUUAUAAACCCUGGACUCUUGGGAAUCCACUAAUAAAAUACUUGAUAUUCUGCAAAGCCA
Mustela lutreola (European mink) is the source of this 1187-nucleotide long non-coding RNA. RefSeq lists it as uncharacterized. The transcript has 2 exons. The record is from RefSeq and is a predicted model, not a curated record. Lineage: Eukaryota; Metazoa; Chordata; Mammalia; Carnivora; Mustelidae.